This 425-nucleotide ribosomal RNA is filed under the name uncultured Thiobacillus sp. RNAcentral describes it as "bacterial SSU rRNA". It matches the Rfam family "Bacterial small subunit ribosomal RNA", at positions 952 to 1382 of the family's 1533-position model. Lineage: Bacteria; Pseudomonadati; Pseudomonadota; Betaproteobacteria; Nitrosomonadales; Thiobacillaceae. The record is from RNAcentral.
CGAUGCAACGCGAAGAACCUUACUACCCUUGACAUGUCCGGAACUUGCCAGAGAUGGCUUGGUGCCCGAAAGGGAAUCGGAACACAGGUGCUGCAUGGCUGUCGUCAGCUCGUGUCGUGAGAUGUUGGGUUAAGUCCCGCAACGAGCGCAACCCUUAUCAUUAGUUGCUACGCAAGGGCACUCUAAUGAGACUGCCGGUGACAAACCGGAGGAAGGUGGGGAUGACGUCAAGUCCUCAUGGCCCUUAUGGGUAGGGCUUCACACGUCAUACAAUGGUCGGUACAGAGGGUUGCCAAGCCGCGAGGCGGAGCCAAUCCCACAAAGCCGAUCGUAGUCCGGAUUGUUCUCUGCAACUCGAGAGCAUGAAGUCGGAAUCGCUAGUAAUCGCAGGUCAGCAUACUGCGGUGAAUACGUUCCCGGGUCUU